AUUGAACGCUGGCGGCAGGCCUAACACAUGCAAGUCGAGCGGAUGAAGGGAGCUUGCUCCUGGAUUCAGCGGCGGACGGGUGAGUAAUGCCUAGGAAUCUGCCUGGUAGUGGGGGAUAACGUCCGGAAACGGGCGCUAAUACCGCAUACGUCCUGAGGGAGAAAGUGGGGGAUCUUCGGACCUCACGCUAUCAGAUGAGCCUAGGUCGGAUUAGCUAGUUGGUGGGGUAAAGGCCUACCAAGGCGACGAUCCGUAACUGGUCUGAGAGGAUGAUCAGUCACACUGGAACUGAGACACGGUCCAGACUCCUACGGGAGGCAGCAGUGGGGAAUAUUGGACAAUGGGCGAAAGCCUGAUCCAGCCAUGCCGCGUGUGUGAAGAAGGUCUUCGGAGUGGAAAGCACGUUAAGUUGGGAGGAAGGGCAGUAAGUUAAUACCUUGCUGUUUUGACGGUACCAACAGAAUAAGCACCGGCUAACUUCGUG
RNAcentral lists this ribosomal RNA (484 nucleotides) under uncultured bacterium. RNAcentral's name for it is "partial 16S ribosomal RNA". It matches the Rfam family "Bacterial small subunit ribosomal RNA", at positions 30 to 507 of the family's 1533-position model. The record is from RNAcentral.